GUGGCUUUUCUGUCCAACGUGCUGUGCUGUGUGUGCCUGCAGGUCAUAUUUAUCUGCCUGUCAGGACUGUCGGAGCACUGGAUGGAGAGCAGGUCAUAUGAAGAGGAUUAGGGAGUAAAAGGCAGCUUGUACUGAAGUGCAGGGAAAGUAUAAAUAUUGAUAUAUAUUGGCACAGUGCCUGGCCUUAAUGCUUAAAAUCCUUUGGAGAGCUGUCUGCAUAUUUACUGUAUUAAUGAUCAAAUGCAAGGCUGUGUUGGGAAAGGUCUUCCAUUUGGAAGUCAGUAGUUGAGACUGUCUUGCCUAUGAAAAAGAGGGAGAAUUUUCGUUAGAGGAUGUAGGAUUCUGGCUGGUAAUAGUCUUAAUUCAAGGUAUUUUUAGAGAAUUGAUUUAAUACAAGCAGAACAAAUGGCCAGAAGUGUAAUGAGAGACAAGUUGAAAUUAGAAAGUAGAUGUGCAUUUUGAAUGUAUUGUCAUAGCAACUGAUUAAAUUCUCCCUCUCUUGCUGUUCUGGGGACCUUUUAAAUGUGCUUUGGCUAAAUAAAAAGUAUUAGACUAUUUCAGAGCCAAAAGGUCAGUUCUUGUUGUCUCUUUUGCACUUUAAUUCUAGUACACUGAUACUUGCUAACCACUUAUAACCCUAGAUGCAGAAUGAGAACUUGGGUUAUUAACAAUAAAGAAGUAAACAGCAGAAAGACUUGACCUUUCUUUUGAAUUGCCCUACAGUGUUAAAAAAUACCAAACAAACCUCCUUCCCCAAAGAAACACCCCCAAAAUACCCCAAGAACUCACCAAACAGAAAAUCACCGACAACCAAAAAGCAGAAGUAACAAACAUGAACAGCAAGUGGAGGAAGAGUUUGAAAGCGGGCUGGACAGAAGCAGAAGUGUUACUGCCCACUCUUAGGCCACUGUGCUGAUUAAAUGGGUGUUGUUAGGUUUAGAUCAGUAGUUCGUUGUUGUUGGGUUUUUCGGUGGUGUUGAUUUUUUUGUUGUCGUUGUGGGGGAUUGUUUGUUUGUUUGUUUUAUUUUGUUUUUUUUCUGUAUUAAAAAUCUGGCUCAGUUACUCUCUAGUUCUGGUGUGUUUUCUUUUCCAGGUGGUUGGUGUUUCUGCAGUGUUUGGCACAGGACUGGGGGAGAUUUUUACCCAGCUUUCUAAAGCUGUAGAUGAAUAGGAGAGACUGAAUGCACUCCCUUUAUUCACCUUUUCAGAGAGUAUCGUCCAGAAUACGAGCGCCUGAGAAAAA
Long non-coding RNA from Pipra filicauda (Wire-tailed manakin), 1243 nucleotides. RefSeq lists it as uncharacterized. The transcript has 3 exons. NCBI's taxonomy places the organism in Eukaryota, Metazoa, Chordata, Aves, Passeriformes, Pipridae. The record is from RefSeq and is a predicted model, not a curated record.